This 585-nucleotide ribosomal RNA is filed under the name uncultured bacterium. Its description in RNAcentral is "bacterial SSU rRNA". It matches the Rfam family "Bacterial small subunit ribosomal RNA", at positions 874 to 1461 of the family's 1533-position model. The record is from RNAcentral.
UGGGGAGUACGGUCGCAAGGUUAAAACUCAAAGGAAUUGACGGGGACCCGCACAAGCGGUGGAUGAUGUGGUUUAAUUGGAUGCAACGCGAAAAACCUUACCUACCCUUGACAUGCCUGGAAUCCCUUAGAGAUGAGGGAGUGCUCGAAAGAGAGAACCAGGACACAGGUGCUGCAUGGCCGUCGUCAGCUCGUGUCGUGAGAUGUUGGGUUAAGUCCCGCAACGAGCGCAACCCUUGUCAUUAGUUGCUACGAAAGGGCACUCUAAUGAGACUGCCGGUGACAAACCGGAGGAAGGUGGGGAUGACGUCAGGUCCUCAUGGCCCUUAUGGGUAGGGCUACACACGUCAUACAAUGGCCGGUACAGAGGGCUGCCAACCCGCGAGGGGGAGCCAAUCCCAGAAAACCGGUCGUAGUCCGGAUCGCAGUCUGCAACUCGACUGCGUGAAGUCGGAAUCGCUAGUAAUCGCGGAUCAGCUUGCCGCGGUGAAUACGUUCCCGGGUCUUGUACACACCGCCCGUCACACCAUGGGAGCGGGUUCUGCCAGAAGUAGUUAGCCUAACCGCAAGGAGGGCGAUACCCCGG